Molecule: long non-coding RNA, 428 nt
Organism: Pteronotus mesoamericanus
Lineage: Eukaryota; Metazoa; Chordata; Mammalia; Chiroptera; Mormoopidae
Exons: 3
Source: RefSeq, a predicted model, not a curated record
UCUGGCUUGUGGGACUUGGACAGCACGAUCCAGAUUCGAUAUGCCACAUUCUCGUAAGAAAAGCCUAUCUCUGGCUUUUCAUUAGACAAUUUUCAAGGACAUUACUUGCUGGAUGUCAAAGAAUUGGCUCCAUGUGCCCUGGAGAAUGACCUAAAGAUCUGUAUAUGUGAUUUGGGAGUCAUCAGCUCAGGAAUGUGUGCUUAUUUGCCAUCUGAGAACCCAUGUCUUGGUACCAAUGAUAAAUACAUUUAUGUCCCCACUCAAAAUAUGUGUCCAGAGAGACUCCAGAGAUGAUAAUGCCUUGGAAACCCUAAUUGACUCCAACAACAUGCUGUAAAGUCAAACACAAGUGGAUGUAAUAAAAGAGUGAUUUUGGAAACAUUAUGUUAGUUUGGAAAAAUGGAAAUUCAUUGCAGAGAAUAUUCUGA